Molecule: ribosomal RNA, 492 nt
Filed under: uncultured bacterium
Lineage: Bacteria
Description: partial 16S ribosomal RNA
Rfam family: Bacterial small subunit ribosomal RNA
Source: RNAcentral
AGUGAACGCUGGCGGUAGGCCUAACACAUGCAAGUCGAACGGCAGCACAGUAAGAGCUUGCUCUUACGGGUGGCGAGUGGCGGACGGGUGAGGAAUACAUCGGAAUCUACUUUUUCGGGGGGGAUAACGUAGGGAAACUUACGCUAAUACCGCAUACGACCUACGGGUGAAAGCAGGGGAUCUUCGGACCUUGCGCGAUUGAAUGAGCCGAUGUCGGAUUAGCUAGUUGGCGGGGUAAAGGCCCACCAAGGCGACGAUCCGUAGCUGGUCUAAGAGGAUGAUAAGCCACACUGGAACUGAGACACGGUCCAGACUCCUACGGGAGGCAGCAGUGGGGAAUAUUGGACAAUGGGCGCAAGCCUGAUCCAGCCAUACCGCGUGGGUGAAGAAGGCCUUCGGGUUGUAAAGCCCUUUUGUUGGGAAAGAAAAGCAGCAGGUUAAUACCCCGCUGUUCUGACGGUACCCAAAGAAUAAGCACCGGCUAACUUCGUG